GAUGAACGCUGGCGGCGUGCCUAAUACAUGCAAGUCGAGCGAACGGACGAGAAGCUUGCUUCUCUGAUGUUAGCGGCGGACGGGUGAGUAACACGUGGAUAACCUACCUAUAAGACUGGGAUAACUUCGGGAAACCGGAGCUAAUACCGGAUAAUAUUUUGAACCGCAUGGUUCAAAAGUGAAAGACGGUCUUGCUGUCACUUAUAGAUGGAUCCGCGCUGCAUUAGCUAGUUGGUAAGGUAACGGCUUACCAAGGCAACGAUGCAUAGCCGACCUGAGAGGGUGAUCGGCCACACUGGAACUGAGACACGGUCCAGACUCCUACGGGAGGCAGCAGUAGGGAAUCUUCCGCAAUGGGCGAAAGCCUGACGGAGCAACGCCGCGUGAGUGGUGAAGGUCUUCGGAUCGUAAAACUCUGUUAUUAGGGAAGAACAUAUGUGUAAGUAACUGUGCACAUCUUGACGGUACCUAAUCAGAAAGCCACGGCUAACUACGUGCCAGCAGCCGCGGUAAUACGUAGGUGGCAAGCGUUAUCCGGAAUUAUUGGGCGUAAAGCGCGCGUAGGCGGUUUUUUAAGUCUGAUGUGAAAGCCCACGGCUCAACCGUGGAGGGUCAUUGGAAACUGGAAAACUUGAGUGCAGAAGAGGAAAGUGGAAUUCCAUGUGUAGCGGUGAAAUGCGCAGAGAUAUGGAGGAACACCAGUGGCGAAGGCGACUUUCUGGUCUGUAACUGACGCUGAUGUGCGAAAGCGUGGGGAUCAAACAGGAUUAGAUACCCUGGUAGUCCACGCCGUAAACGAUGAGUGCUAAGUGUUAGGGGGUUUCCGCCCCUUAGUGCUGCAGCUAACGCAUUAAGCACUCCGCCUGGGGAGUACGACCGCAAGGUUGAAACUCAAAGGAAUUGACGGGGACCCGCACAAGCGGUGGAGCAUGUGGUUUAAUUCGAAGCAACGCGAAGAACCUUACCAAAUCUUGACAUCCUUUGACAACUCUAGAGAUAGAGCCUUCCCCUUCGGGGGACAAAGUGACAGGUGGUGCAUGGUUGUCGUCAGCUCGUGUCGUGAGAUGUUGGGUUAAGUCCCGCAACGAGCGCAACCCUUAAGCUUAGUUGCCAUCAUUAAGUUGGGCACUCUAAGUUGACUGCCGGUGACAAACCGGAGGAGGGUGGGGAUGACGUCAAAUCAUCAUGCCCCUUAUGAUUUGGGCUACACACGUGCUACAAUGGACAAUACAAAGGGCAGCGAAACCGCGAGGUCAAGCAAAUCCCAUAAAGUUGUUCUCAGUUCGGAUUGUAGUCUGCAACUCGACUACAUGAAGCUGGAAUCGCUAGUAAUCGUAGAUCAGCAUGCUACGGUGAAUACGUUCCCGGGUCU
RNAcentral lists this ribosomal RNA (1372 nucleotides) under uncultured bacterium. RNAcentral's name for it is "bacterial SSU rRNA". It matches the Rfam family "Bacterial small subunit ribosomal RNA", at positions 28 to 1381 of the family's 1533-position model. The record is from RNAcentral.